GAAAUGCAUUGAGGAGAGAGAAAAGCAGACAGAAGAGUCCAGGACUCCAAAUCCAAGACUUCAAUUCCUCCUCAACCCAAAAAGCUCAGAUUCCAUCUACUAUAUGCUGAGUUCCAGGAGAGAGUUCACUAGAAAAUAAAAGCCUUGAAAACUAGGAUUCAUUCAUUACCAUACUUCACCUUUUGGAGAAUGUCAUAUAGUGUACAACGUGUUUUGUCUGUGAUGAAGAAGAUGACCAACUGGAGAGCUGAAGGGUUUCACCAUUCUCAAGGAAGAUAAAUACUUGUUUUACUUCAGUUCUAUGCUAAUGGGGUAUCAAUACAAUGUAUAUUCAUCUUUUGAAGAAUAUGUAUCCAUAUUCUAGGAGAAAUGAGUUUAUCUGCUUCUAUUUCUUCAUAAAUAUCUAAAGAUUGUG
RNAcentral lists this long non-coding RNA (415 nucleotides) under Vulpes vulpes (red fox). RNAcentral describes it as "lncRNA (ENSVVUG00000024677.1)". The record is from RNAcentral. Lineage: Eukaryota; Metazoa; Chordata; Mammalia; Carnivora; Canidae.